GAAAUGCGAUAAGUAAUGUGAAUUGCAGAAUUCCGUGAAUCAUCGAAUCUUUGAACGCACAUUGCGCCCUCUGGUAUUCCGGGGGGCAUGCCUGUCCGAGCGUCAUUGCGAACCCCUCAAGCACGGCUUGUGUGAUGGGCCCUCCCGCGUCUUGGUCGUCAAGACGGGCCCGAAAUGCAGUGGCGGCUUCGCGGUUAUCCGAUCAGCCAGAGCGUACGGGGACUUUCUCUCUGUCACACGCCCGCGGCGCGGACCGACGCCUGUCGACCUUUAUUCAUCUUUUUCUCGGUUGACCUCGGAUCAGGUAGGGAUACCCGCUGAACUUAAGC
RNAcentral lists this unclassified non-coding RNA (329 nucleotides) under plant metagenome. RNAcentral describes it as "partial contains 5.8S ribosomal RNA, internal transcribed spacer 2, and large subunit ribosomal RNA". The stretch from base 1 to 105 matches the Rfam family "5.8S ribosomal RNA", at positions 50 to 154 of the family's 154-position model. The record is from RNAcentral.